UGAGUAACCUGCCCUUAACUCUGGGAUAAGCCUGGGAAACUGGGUCUAAUACCGGAUAUGACUCCUCAUCGCAUGGGUGGGGGGUGGAAAGCUUUUUUGUGGUUUUGGAUGGACUCGCGGCCUAUCAGCUUGUUGGUGAGGUAAUGGCUCACCAAGGCGACGACGGGUAGCCGGCCUGAGAGGGUGACCGGCCACACUGGGACUGAGACACGGCCCAGACCUCCGUACGGGAGGCAG
This 237-nucleotide ribosomal RNA is filed under the name uncultured bacterium. RNAcentral's name for it is "partial 16S ribosomal RNA". It matches the Rfam family "Bacterial small subunit ribosomal RNA", at positions 118 to 351 of the family's 1533-position model. The record is from RNAcentral.